Molecule: long non-coding RNA, 1311 nt
Filed under: Phascolarctos cinereus (koala)
Lineage: Eukaryota; Metazoa; Chordata; Mammalia; Diprotodontia; Phascolarctidae
Description: lncRNA (ENSPCIG00000003777.2)
Source: RNAcentral
CCAGGCUUGUCACUGAAUGAAGUAGGUGGCCUAGUGGACAGAGUGCUGAUUCUGGAAUCAAGAAGACCUGAGUUCUAAUCCUCUCUCAGACACUUACUAGCUGUUCGACUCUUGGCAAGGCAUCUAACCUCUCUCAGACUCAGUUUCCUUGCCUAUAAAAUGGGGGUGCUAAUAAUAGCAUGUGAGUUGCUCAGGGUCACACAGCCAGCAAGCUGGUCUGAGGAGGCAUUUGAACCCAAUCACUGCUCCAUACUGCCUCAUUGAGCAGAGAUUUGAGCAUGAAGGGAUCACAGAAGCCAUAGAUUCCCACCCCCUCCCCUUAAUUUACAGAGGAAACUGGGGACCAAGGAAGUUAAGUGACUUGCCCAGGGUUGCAUGGACUGUUAGCAUCAGAGAUGGGAUUUGAAUAAGCUCAUCCAGUGCUCCUUAUGCUAUUGAAGUUGAUGUGAUAAUAACUGAGAGAAUUCUACAGUCACUUUGAAGUAGUUUUGUUCUUGUUUGCUUUUAUUUUGUUUUUGAUGCUUGGUAUAAACUUUGGUCUAAGUCACAGAAAAGUCAGAGGCAUCAAUGGGACACUGUUCUGGAGCUGGCUUCUCAUGAAUGUUCGGUGUGGGUUGAACCUUCAGGACCAAUGCCUACGAUUUCUUAGAUUUUAUAGAGUGUAGGUCUAUCCUGAAACUACGUCAAGAAGGGCACUCUCAGUUCUAGGGCUGGUUUCCGUUUUGACCUCUUCAGUCAUGCAUGACAAAAGGACGAGCCUCCGGAAGAAGGAUGAGAAAGUUUGCAACUGGCUCCAUCAGAAAUUUUAUACAGAUGCUCACCCUUUCUAUUCAAGGUCUGCUUUUGCACCUCCACCCCCAUCAUCAACUCUGGCAGAGAAUUAGAGCAGCAAAGCAGAAAAAAGGUUAUUGAUCCACACAACAAGAUCUCCAUAGCUCCUGAAUUCUUCCUGUCUCUGUUGUUCUCCUGUGGAACUCCCUUCUAAUCUAGGUAGCGCCAUCACAUCAAGACCUCCCAUUCAGGGCUAUGAUUGAAGCAGCAUGCCUGGUUGAUCCCAGGUCAUGUCCUCCAUUCAGUCCCGUUUCCUAAAAGGUCUCAUCCUCUAAGCACCUGAAAACUCCACAUUCUUGAGGUCAGUGAAGCCCAUCAAAACAUACCUUACCUCACAUAGUAAUAACUGACAUUGAUUAUCAGAGGUGUGGUAAACUGAGGUCUUUUUGCCUCCAGGUACUGUAUCUAUUAAACCAGGUACUGGAUUUACUAAACCAUGCUGUGUCAGAGUCAUUUCUGUUCCUGAUGCUUAUUUUUAGG